UCCUCCCGAGUGCUUGCACUCAAUUGGAAAGAGGAGUGGCGGACGGGUGAGUAACACGUGGGUAACCUACCCAUCAGAGGGGGAUAACACUUGGAAACAGGUGCUAAUACCGCAUAACAGUUUAUGCCGCAUGGCAUAAGAGUGAAAGGCGCUUUCGGGUGUCGCUGAUGGAUGGACCCGCGGUGCAUUAGCUAGUUGGUGAGGUAACGGCUCACCAAGGCCACGAUGCAUAGCCGACCUGAGAGGGUGAUCGGCCACACUGGGACUGAGACACGGCCCAGACUCCUACGGGAGGCAGCAGUAGGGAAUCUUCGGCAAUGGACGAAAGUCUGACCGAGCAACGCCGCGUGAGUGAAGAAGGUUUUCGGAUCGUAAAACUCUGUUGUU
This 387-nucleotide ribosomal RNA is filed under the name uncultured bacterium. RNAcentral's name for it is "bacterial SSU rRNA". It matches the Rfam family "Bacterial small subunit ribosomal RNA", at positions 68 to 440 of the family's 1533-position model. The record is from RNAcentral.